AAUUAUGCUCAAAGAUAUUAUUCAAGCUGUAUGCAAAGGAGUAUGAGGCUCAGGAAAAGGAGUUGAUUCGAUUGAAGCGUGAAGCAAAGUUGAAAGGAGGAUUUUAUAUUGAUCCAGAAGCUAAGCUUUUGUUUAUAUUUCGAAUCCGAGGUAUCAAUGCCAUGCACCCAAGGACGAGAAAGAUCUUGCAGCUCUUGCGUUUGAGGCAGGUUAACUGAUAUUAUCUUUUCACUAAAAUU
Long non-coding RNA from Hibiscus syriacus, 239 nucleotides. RefSeq lists it as uncharacterized. Lineage: Eukaryota; Viridiplantae; Streptophyta; Magnoliopsida; Malvales; Malvaceae. The transcript has 3 exons. The record is from RefSeq and is a predicted model, not a curated record.